AGAACGAACGCUGGCGGCGUGGAUAAGACAUGCAAGUCGAACGAGCUCAGUUUUGUAGCAAUACAGGGCUAAGCUAGUGGCGAACGGGUGCGUAACACGUGAGCAAUCUGCCUUAAAGUGGGGGAUAGCUCGCCGAAAGGCGAAUUAAUACCGAAUGUGGUUGUAAAACCAAAGCCGGGGCAACCUGGCGCUUUUAGAGGGGCUCGCGGCCUAUCAGCUUGUUGGUGAGGUAACGGCUCACCAAGGCGACGACGGGUA
RNAcentral lists this ribosomal RNA (258 nucleotides) under uncultured bacterium. RNAcentral's name for it is "partial small subunit ribosomal RNA". It matches the Rfam family "Bacterial small subunit ribosomal RNA", at positions 26 to 285 of the family's 1533-position model. The record is from RNAcentral.